This is a non-coding RNA of Macaca mulatta (Rhesus monkey), 458 nucleotides long. The record is from RefSeq and is a predicted model, not a curated record. Lineage: Eukaryota; Metazoa; Chordata; Mammalia; Primates; Cercopithecidae.
GUCUUUAGGAAAGCUCUCAUUUUUUGUGUUUCACAUGAAACAGUGUUCUGCUCUAUCGCUCUGAGCAUGGCUGGCACAGAGUUAAGUGGGGGAGGAAAACUCUUGGUUUCUAUACUUGUUUGUAAAAUGGCAUUCUGUUCUAUUGCUGGAAGAGCCUAGCUGGAGAAAAACAAGCAGGGCCAGAGUGCAACAGCGGCUGGACAGGUAGAGAGCAGCUGUCAAGGAGCAUUCAGGGCACAAGGACUGUCCGUAAGUGGAAGCAUCUACUGAGGCUUAGACGACUAUAACCAUGAAUAUCAAUAAGAUCCGCGAUCCUUCUCAGCGUCGGUCCACGCUGCCUUUGUGAGCUAUAACACUCAAUGCGAAGCUCUGCAGCAUCACUCCUGGAGCCAGCGAGACCACAAACCCACCGGGAAGAAUGAACAACUCCAGAUGUGCCGCCUUUAUGAGCUGCAACA